AUGACCGCAGUCCAAGUCGAACUGCUACCACCAUCUUCACCAAGCGCUGCACUCAUUGAGCACCAACACAGUGCUUUCCAUGUCGAAAAACUAUGGAAAAUGGGGCAAAUAAUAUACCGUUGCCUCGUGUGUCAAAUGACCUUAGAGAAGAGAUUUAGCCAGUCAGCAGCAUCUGUUGCCUCCACUCUGAUGGAAUAUGGUGGUGUUCCUCAGUACUCCACUCCAGAAUCUCUUUUGAAAAAAUCUCUCCAUGUCAUAGGUUGUGGCUACGAGGACAAGUCUGAAGGGGAACUAAGGUAG
RNAcentral lists this ribosomal RNA (300 nucleotides) under Triticum aestivum (bread wheat). RNAcentral describes it as "partial small subunit ribosomal RNA". The record is from RNAcentral. Lineage: Eukaryota; Viridiplantae; Streptophyta; Magnoliopsida; Poales; Poaceae.